RNAcentral lists this unclassified non-coding RNA (301 nucleotides) under uncultured Xerocomus. RNAcentral's name for it is "sequence contains ITS2". The record is from RNAcentral. Lineage: Eukaryota; Fungi; Basidiomycota; Agaricomycetes; Boletales; Boletaceae.
AAUUCUCAACCAUUCUCAUUUUCUCUUUAAGAGAGAGAGAGACAUGGCUUGGAGUUGGGAGUUGCUGGCAGGGAAACUGUCAGCUCUCCUUAAAUAUAUUAGCGAUCGAGUUGGCUAGUCUUUGACAUGCACGGCCUCUGACGUGAUAAUGAUCGUCAUGGCUGGAGUGUCUUUCCUAGACUAUGUACACAGAUAGCUUCUAAUUUACAUUGGGAAAGAAAGGGAAGAGUUUAGCUACUAGGCAGUCUAACGAUUUAGGCUGGCGAACCCAAGCUUGAUCUUUCUUUCUCUAUCUUCAUUG